This 742-nucleotide ribosomal RNA is filed under the name uncultured bacterium. Its description in RNAcentral is "bacterial SSU rRNA". It matches the Rfam family "Bacterial small subunit ribosomal RNA", at positions 8 to 796 of the family's 1533-position model. The record is from RNAcentral.
AGAGUUUGAUCCUGGCUCAGAACGAACGCUGGCGGCAUGCCUAACACAUGCAAGUCGAACGAAGGCUUCGGCCUUAGUGGCGCACGGGUGAGUAACACGUGGGAACCUGCCUCUUUGUUCGGAAUAACUGCGGGAAACUGCAGCUAAUACCGGAUACGCCCUACGGGGGAAAGAUUUAUCGCAGAGAGAGGGGCCCGCGUCCGAUUAGGUAGUUGGUGGGGUAAUGGCCUACCAAGCCGACGAUCGGUAGCUGGUCUGAGAGGAUGAUCAGCCACACUGGGACUGAGACACGGCCCAGACUCCUACGGGAGGCAGCAGUGGGGAAUAUUGGACAAUGGGCGCAAGCCUGAUCCAGCAAUGCCGCGUGAAUGAUGAAGGCCUUAGGGUUGUAAAGUUCUUUCGUCGGGGACGAUGAUGACGGUACCCGAAGAAGAAGCCCCGGCUAACUUCGUGCCAGCAGCCGCGGUAAUACGAAGGGGGCUAGCGUUGUUCGGAAUUACUGGGCGUAAAGGGCGCGUAGGCGGCCAUUCAAGUUAGGCGUGAAAGCCCUGGGCUCAACCUAGGAAUUGCGCUUGAUACUGUAUGGCUUGAGUUCGGGAGAGGUGAGUGGAAUUCCCAGUGUAGAGGUGAAAUUCGUAGAUAUUGGGAAGAACACCAGUGGCGAAGGCGGCUCACUGGACCGACACUGACGCUGAGGCGCGAAAGCGUGGGGAGCAAACAGGAUUAGAUACCCUAGUAGUCC